GGAGAAAUGGCAGAGCGGUCGAAUGCGGCGGUUUUGAAAACCGUUGUUCCUUUACGGGAACUGGGGGGUUUGGAUUCCUCUUUCUCCGCCA
RNAcentral lists this transfer RNA (91 nucleotides) under Bacteroidales bacterium. RNAcentral's name for it is "tRNA-Ser". It matches the Rfam family "tRNA". Rfam says of the family: Transfer RNA (tRNA) molecules are approximately 80 nucleotides in length. Their secondary structure includes four short double-helical elements and three loops (D, anti-codon, and T loops). Further hydrogen bonds mediate the characteristic L-shaped molecular structure. tRNAs have two regions of fundamental functional importance: the anti-codon, which is responsible for specific mRNA codon recognition, and the 3' end, to which the tRNAs corresponding amino acid is attached (by aminoacyl-tRNA synthetases). tRNAs cope with the degeneracy of the genetic code in two manners: having more than one tRNA (with a specific anti-codon) for a particular amino acid; and 'wobble' base-pairing, i.e. permitting non-standard base-pairing at the 3rd anti-codon position. Lineage: Bacteria; Pseudomonadati; Bacteroidota; Bacteroidia; Bacteroidales. The record is from RNAcentral.